GGAUUAGAUACCCUGGUAGUCCACGCCGUAAACGAUGUCUACUAGUCGUCGGGGCUCUUGCAGCCUUGGUGACGCAGCUAACGCGAUAAGUAGACCGCCUGGGGAGUACGGCCGCAAGGUUAAAACUCAAAUGAAUUGACGGGGGCCCGCACAAGCGGUGGAGCAUGUGGUUUAAUUCGAAGCAACGCGAAGAACCUUACCUGGCCUUGACAUCCUGCGAACUUCCUGGAGAUAGGAAGGUGCCUUCGGGAGCGCAGUGACAGGUGCUGCAUGGCUGUCGUCAGCUCGUGCCG
This 293-nucleotide ribosomal RNA is filed under the name uncultured bacterium. Its description in RNAcentral is "partial 16S ribosomal RNA". It matches the Rfam family "Bacterial small subunit ribosomal RNA", at positions 775 to 1067 of the family's 1533-position model. The record is from RNAcentral.